Molecule: ribosomal RNA, 90 nt
Filed under: Pteropus alecto (black flying fox)
Lineage: Eukaryota; Metazoa; Chordata; Mammalia; Chiroptera; Pteropodidae
Source: RNAcentral
GUCUACGGCCAUGCCACCCUGAACGGGCCCAAUCUUGUCUGAUCUUGGAAGCUAAGCAGGGUUGGGCCUGGAUACCAGGUGCUGUAAGCG